UCCGGCUUAACGCCGGCAGUCUACCUAGAGUGCCCAACUUAAUGGUGGCAACUAAGUACGAGGGUUGCGCUCGUUGCGGGACUUAACCCAACACCUCACGGUACGAGCUGACGACAGCCAUGCAGCACCUGAACCAGCGGUCCCCGAAGGGAAAAUCCUAUUUCUAGGAUUGUCCACCGUUGUCUAGCCCAGGUAAGGUUCUUCGCGUUGCAUCGAAUUGAGCCACAUACUCCACCGCUUGUGCAGGCCCCCGUCAAUUUCUUUGAGUUUUAAUCUUGCGACCGUACUUCCCAGGCGGCUUAUUUAACGCGUUUGCUACGCCACAAAAGGGGUCGAUUCCCUUUACAGCAAAUAAGCACCGUUUACGGCUAGGACUAC
Molecule: unclassified non-coding RNA, 378 nt
Filed under: uncultured bacterium
Lineage: Bacteria
Description: contains 16S-23S intergenic spacer region
Source: RNAcentral